Non-coding RNA from Anopheles arabiensis, 232 nucleotides. The record is from Rfam. Lineage: Eukaryota; Metazoa; Arthropoda; Insecta; Diptera; Culicidae.
GGCAAUACCUCGCUGAUACGGAGGUGGAUCCGAAGCCUCUAAAAGGUGAACAUAGGCUCUUCACCUCCUACUCCUACUCUCAUUCUCAUUUUUCCGGCUGCUAAAACUCCUACUACAACUCAAUACGUCCCUGUCGUACAGAACGGUAACAUGUCUCUCAAUUACCCAAGCUUGGGUAUACGGGGAAACCCAACUCCUUCGGCGGAUGGAUUGCAUGGCUAAAUUGAGAGGG